Molecule: ribosomal RNA, 253 nt
Filed under: uncultured bacterium
Lineage: Bacteria
Description: partial 16S ribosomal RNA
Rfam family: Bacterial small subunit ribosomal RNA
Source: RNAcentral
GACGAAGGAUGCAAGCGUUAUCCGGAUUCAUUGGGUUUAAAGGGUGCGUAGGCGGCCUAAUAAGUCAGUGGUGAAAUCUCCUCGCUUAACGAGGAAACUGCCAUUGAUACUGUUGGGCUUGAGUACAGAUGCUGUGGGCGGAAUAUGACAUGUAGUGGUGAAGUACAUAGAGAUGUCAUAGAACACCGAUUGCGAAGGCAGCUCACAAAACUGUAACUGACGCUGAGGCACGAAAGUGCGGGGAUCAAACAGG